This 481-nucleotide ribosomal RNA is filed under the name uncultured bacterium. Its description in RNAcentral is "partial 16S ribosomal RNA". It matches the Rfam family "Bacterial small subunit ribosomal RNA", at positions 28 to 507 of the family's 1533-position model. The record is from RNAcentral.
GAUGAACGCUGGCGGCGUGCUUAACACAUGCAAGUCGAACGAAGCAUUUGCGACAGAUUUUUUCGGAAUGAAGUUGCUUAUGACUGAGUGGCGGACGGGUGAGUAACGCGUGGGUAACCUGCCUUGUACUGGGGGAUAGCAGCUGGAAACGGCUGGUAAUACCGCAUAAGCGCACAAUGUUGCAUGACAUGGUGUGAAAAACUCCGGUGGUAUAAGAUGGACCCGCGUCUGAUUAGCUAGUUGGUGAGAUAACAGCCCACCAAGGCGACGAUCAGUAGCCGACCUGAGAGGGUGACCGGCCACAUUGGGACUGAGACACGGCCCAGACUCCUACGGGAGGCAGCAGUGGGGAAUAUUGCACAAUGGAGGAAACUCUGAUGCAGCGACGCCGCGUGAGUGAAGAAGUAAUUCGUUAAGUAAAGCUCUAUCAGCAGGGAAGAUAGUGACGGUACCUGACGAAGAAGCUCCGGCUAAAUACGUG